AGUGGACGUGCCGGAGUGGUUAUUGGGCAUGACUAGAAAUCAUGUGGACUAUGCCCACGCCCACACAGGUUUGAAUCCAGCUGUUCAUGU
Non-coding RNA from Lupinus albus (white lupine), 90 nucleotides. NCBI's taxonomy places the organism in Eukaryota, Viridiplantae, Streptophyta, Magnoliopsida, Fabales, Fabaceae. The record is from the annotation of a GenBank genome assembly.